This 483-nucleotide ribosomal RNA is filed under the name uncultured bacterium. RNAcentral's name for it is "partial 16S ribosomal RNA". It matches the Rfam family "Bacterial small subunit ribosomal RNA", at positions 28 to 523 of the family's 1533-position model. The record is from RNAcentral.
GACGAACGCUGGCGGCGUGCUUAACACAUGCAAGUCGAGCGAGACCCCGCUUUCGGGUGGGUGUUCUAGCGGCGAACGGGUGAGUAGCACGUGGGCAACCUGCCCUCAGCUCUGGGAUAACUCCAAGAAAUUGGGGCUAAUACCGGAUAUGACCGCUGACCGCAUGGUCUGGUGGUGGAAAGAUUUAUCGGCUGGGGAUGGGCCCGCGGCCUAUCAGCUUGUUGGUGGGGUAGUGGCCUACCAAGGCGACGACGGGUAGCCGGCCUGAGAGGGUGACCGGGCACACUGGGACUGAGACGCGGCCCAGACUCCUACGGGAGGCAGCAGUGGGGAAUAUUGCGCAAUGGGCGAAAGCCUGACGCAGCGACGCCGCGUGGGGGAUGACGGCCUUCGGGUUGUAAACCUCUUUCAGCAGGGACGAAGCGAAAGUGACGGUACCUGCAGAAGAAGCACCGGCCAACUACGUGCCAGCAGCCGCCGUAA